AACAAUAAUAUGGCUCCUUCAAUAUUAACAAAUAAAUUUUCUCUUCAUGUUAAAGAAAAUGGAAAAGGAAUCCAAGAUGUUAAACAUUGUGUCCUAGCUCCCGGUACUAUUUUUAUAGCAAAAGAAUAUCACAUUAUACUGCCAAAAGCGUGUCUAUCCAAUAUGUUUAGUUCGACAGUCAGUGGCCUACUACCUUGAGGUAGCAACAGAAGAUGUAAACUCUUUGUUGAAGGUUGGCUCUUCAUCUAUGAUAUCAAAAGUUGUGAAUGCAGUUCGCCAUUCCAGCAACAUAAUCCAUGGCCCCAGUAACCAGGAUCGUCUCUUUGAUGGUCUAUUUGCAUAACCUGAUAGAGCAAUUAUAGGUGGUGAGUAUCACACCAAGGCAUGACAUAGCUAUUAAAUUAUCCAUGUUCAGAGACAACAAUAAUUGAAAAGAUAGACUCCUUGUUGGUGGCUAUAGCAGGGUACUGCCAAACUUAACUGAGUGCAAGAAGCCAUCCAAGUGCAGGUGCUUUGUGAGUGAGCCAGAGGCUGCCUAAGGUAAUGCAUCCACAAUUCC
Molecule: long non-coding RNA, 559 nt
Filed under: Panicum hallii
Lineage: Eukaryota; Viridiplantae; Streptophyta; Magnoliopsida; Poales; Poaceae
Description: long non-coding RNA (PHAL_LNC000304)
Source: RNAcentral